Oryza sativa Japonica Group (Japanese rice) is the source of this 1762-nucleotide non-coding RNA. Lineage: Eukaryota; Viridiplantae; Streptophyta; Magnoliopsida; Poales; Poaceae. The record is from RefSeq and is a predicted model, not a curated record.
UACCGAUUCCCGACGAGCCGUGCUGCAGCUGCACUGCACGCUCGUCUUCUCCAUCGGCGGCGGCGGCGGCGGGCGGCGGUGGCGGCGGGCCUUCAGUACGGCUCCUCCCGUCGGUAGCUCCGCCCAUUCUCGACGUGCGCCUCCCCGGCGACGCGGCGAGGCCUCCCGUCACCUCGAACCCCUGUCUAAGCCUAGGGCGGCGGCGAUCGCGGCCAGUAGAGGGCGGCGCGGCAGCGGCGACAGCAGCUGCGAUCCUCCAUCAGAGGGAGACCUGCAGGAGCGAAGCUGACAAGAGGCAGAGGUCGCCUCCCAUGGAUUCUCUCCAUCUCGUGCACGUCAAGCUCCUGGCUGCCGAUCUCCUCUCCCUGGCCUCCCGCCACACCUCGCCGCCUUCGUUCGCUCGCUGCGGCCGUACGGUUACUCGUGCCGAGAUCGUCGGCGUCGUGGUUUCCCGUGAUCGCAGGGAGAAGUUCCUCCGGUUUCUGGUGGACGAUGGCACCGGAUGCGUGCCGUGCGUGCUGUGGCUGAACCACCACUACCUGAAUGCUGCGAGCAGUUCAUCCAGGGCAUCAGAUUCUGAUCCAACUGCAGAGAUGGCGUUGAGGAUGUCAGAGGUGGUGAGCCUGGGCACUCUGUUGAGGGUUCGAGGCAGGAUUGUAUUGUACCGUGGUGCGAUCCAGAUUGCUGUUAGAGAUGUUGUUCUGGAGAAGGACCCUAAUGUGGAGGUGAUGCAUUGGUUGCAAUGUAUUCGCAUGGCCAAGGAAUGUUACGAUCUGCGGCCGCCUUCUGCUUGAGGCUCAUCUCGGAGGAAGUUCGUGCAAUGAUCAAGCUGAACUAGGAGAGGAGAAAAUAUGGGCAACCGCAUUAUCAGCUUCUAAGGUACUUUGCAAUGCAUCUGCAGCAGCUUCUCGUAGUAUUAAUGCUUAUGUAAAGAAAUAAGAACCAGCUAUCGAAAGAAAAAAAAAAAGACAAAACAGCCAAAGAUACAGAUGUAGUAUGUUAAUAUGGUUAAUACUUGGGAUGAAGCUAUAAGCUUAUAUGCUUCUAGCAGGUAUGCCUUUUUAAGAUAGCGACUUGGCUUACAACUUAUGGUAGAAUGACAGAGUGUGUUUCAUGGACCUAUCUUCAAGUAAGAUAUUCCUGAGAUAGUAAAGGAAUACGAUGAUUAGUGAAAGCCAAAGAAAGACAGACAGAUAGAAGUAAAAGAACAAGAGAGAACCAUUUAGAUUGCAGUGAAGAAUGUUUUAAUUUUGGCAGUGAAUUAUCAGUGAUUUGCUCGAGUUAUAGUUAUUCAGGUUCAGAUUGAGGCUGCAAAGAUAAAUUUAGAGAAGGGUGCACUACAGAUACAUUGGUUUCUAAUACCUGUCCUGUGAACAAAGGUCCAGAAUUGAAAGCACUAGAACAGAAGACAAAUUGAUGGCCUUUUCUUCAUGUCUGCAGAAUUGGGCAAGGUAUGGGAAAUCCCUUGGACCAAACGAAGGUACUAGAGGAAUCUACCAGUACACUUUGGAUUUAUCCUUCUUUCCGGACUGCAUUGCACGAAUAUAUGCAAGUACUUGAGUUUCCUAUAACCUAUGUUCAUACCUCUGUUUUCUGCUUUUAUUCUUUCACUAUUUAGUUUGAUGAAAAAAAUACUUAACCAACCUUGACAAAAUAUUAAAAGUCCAAUAAAUUAUGGAAGUAUGUCAGUAGCUUUUACUUCAAGAGUGUCUACACAUUUGACCAUGCUAUUAUAUGACACUAGUAUUCAGCUCUUGUUUUA